Molecule: long non-coding RNA, 144 nt
Organism: Leptinotarsa decemlineata (Colorado potato beetle)
Lineage: Eukaryota; Metazoa; Arthropoda; Insecta; Coleoptera; Chrysomelidae
Source: RefSeq, a predicted model, not a curated record
UCUGCAUAUGAGAUACAGAAAGCUAAAUUUAUGUGUACUUCCAGGAGACAGCAGGUUAUCACAACACUCUACUACUAGGAAGUAGAUUCAUCAAGGGAAACAUAGUGAUACUGUAUCAAUUCACAAAUAAAGCUAUAAAUUUUA